Molecule: transfer RNA, 39 nt
Filed under: Capra hircus (goat)
Lineage: Eukaryota; Metazoa; Chordata; Mammalia; Artiodactyla; Bovidae
Description: partial tRNA-Gly
Source: RNAcentral
GUCCUUUUAGUAUUAAUCAGUACAACUGACUUCCAAUCA